RNAcentral lists this long non-coding RNA (3084 nucleotides) under Marmota monax (woodchuck). Lineage: Eukaryota; Metazoa; Chordata; Mammalia; Rodentia; Sciuridae. The record is from RNAcentral.
CCAACUACAACUAAAAAAUAAAUAUUAAAAAAAGAAGGGGAAACUCUCACUGUCUUUCCAACCCCAGCCAAGUGAGGACAGCAAAAGGGUGGCCAUCUGCAAGCCAGGCGAGGGACCCUUACCAGAACCGCGCUUGCUGACAUCCUGAUCUUGGACUUCAGACACCAGACUCCAGAACUGGUAGAAAAUAAAUACCUGUUGUUUAAGCCCCAACUCUGUGGCAUUUUGUCAUGGGAGCCCUGCAUCUGACACAGGGGUCCAACACCCUUCUUUUGUGCGUGGCUAACCAGUUGUCCCAGCAUCAUUCAGUGAAAGGACUAUUCUUUUCCACUAAAUUGUCUUGGCUCCAGUUAUUGUUAAACUAGCUCAGAACUGAGAAUAGAAUCUGUCCAAAUCAUCUGUGAGCUGAGGAGAAACAGUGAAAUAAAUAACACCACUCCUCUAUCCUCAUUUGUAAGCAGAUGAGGACAUUCUAGAAUUUUGAUCUGAAGCUUUGUCCAUGGGAAGCAUGAAUCUUUGAUUCUCCCUUUCUUGGCCAGCAUGGGCUAGUACCUCAGUAACCCUACAUCUUUUUAUAGUGGUGAAAUAAUCAAGCCAUGUCAGGUGCAAUACACUUAGUGCCUGUGUUCUGGAGGUCAGCUGGUGUGAGGAAUCGGGGGGAAGGAGGCUUGAAUAAGUACUUGUGUACAAAUGAAUACAUAUCUAGUAGCAAUUUCACUUAUAAAUCUAUAAACUUGUAUGGAAAUCUAAAUCCCAACCAAAGAAAGGUUUGUCUAACCAGUUCUUUUCCCUCCUAGCCCAUGGCCAAAUUUAAUUUUGGCUCCAAACCAACAUUGAAAGACAGAGAGAGGGACAUAAGGGGAAAGCAACAACAACAAAAAAAACCCUUUUGCUACCUGAAGCACACAAUGGAUUCAUUGAUCGGAGAACAAGGUAGUUCAAUUGCUUGCUUUACCUUGCUGCUGGGAAAAAACAAAACCUCUUAUGAAAACAUGGCUUGUGGGAAAAGGUGUGAUUACUCUAAAAAGCUUUGCUUUGUUUCUGCACUCUACUCCACAGAGCUCAAGUUAUGCAGCCAGCAGGACCUGAAAGUCAGACCUGGCUAAGCCCCUGAUGCAGCCUGUGGCUUGGGAAGAUCCAGAAGUCUUAACAAGGUUACCCAAGAAAAAUGGGGACAAGAAGAGUGAUCCUGCGUAUGGCCACAUGCUUCAGUUUCUACCCUUCAGCAAUGGAGGAUACCAUUGUCAACUCUCUGGAGAUGUGGAGAGGAACAAGUUUGCCUCUGCCCGCUUCUCUACUCUUUGGGUUGGAUAGAGGACCAAGAACUGGCACCAGCAAGGCUAACAGGUCCGUGCAUGCUCCACCCAGUAAUGAGGCCAGGUGUCCCCAAUCAGAGAGACAAUUCUAAGGCAGAAUUUCCUUUACACAUUCAAAAUUGAGGAAAAAUCUGCCCAGACUAUUUAUCCAGUGCACUAGUGACAAAGAAAUGCUCCAGAUUUUGAGAUGCUACAUGCGUUGGCAUCAUCAAAGAAGGAACAUGAGGAGACGGAUAGAAGUCUGAUGGAUUAUCUCUCUCCUCUUUAUGGUGGAGAACUCCUAGCCACAAUUGUCCUUGCUUAGCUAUAUUCCUACAUUCCUGGAAUCCACUGUGGCAUGGGGUCAUAGACUACUGCUAUUAGAACCUCCUGCUUGGUAGGAGAUCUGGUUUCUUCCCCCACCACCUCUGCUUCUCUUUUAUGAAAUUAUAUAUGAUUAGAUGUUAGAUUCAACUCUUUCUAUUGUUUAGGAGAUGGACAGAGUCCUAAAGUCAGAUCCUAUUAAAAUAGAUGCUAAGUAACACCACAUUAUAAGAGAAUAGGAUAUUGAACUACUGUUAAAGACAUGUUAGAAAUGAUAAAACCAAGCCUGCUAGCAUUCAUAGUCAUCUACUUUCAAUCUUUAAAAAUAGAGAGGGAAGGAGAACGAGUUGCAGUAGGCUUGAGCUGCAGUUUCUUAGACAGAGGGGAGGAAAAGGCUCGUCUUUUUGUGGAUACCAGAUAUGAGCCUGUGGGAGGGGAACCAGCCUGGAGUCUUCUUGAAGGAACUCUGUCCCUGAAGAUGCCCUGGAGGGAGUAGACCACCAGGAGCUGACAGAUCUGGGGGAAACUGAAAUUCGGCCAUCCAGAAGGAAGCCUCAUCCAUGAUAAGUAGGAUGACUAUAACUUUUCUCCAAAAUGGGGAUACUUUUAAGAAAGAAAAGAGAUUCCACUGACACAUCUGCUGAAGCAACAGACUUCAACUGGAACUGUCCCAACAAACAGGACAUAGAGUCAGCCUCAUGUUAAGGAGACUGAAUUGGAAGUUCCCAUAGCAACCUGCAACUUCCUCCCACCAGGGGCCAGUUUUGCAUCCCUUUUGGUCUCAGAGAGCAUCCUGAUAUCAUCCUAGUUUGAACUGACUGACUGGGUGGUAACUGUAGGCAGGUAGGGUGUGGCUGGAAGAGGUGGGUCACUAGGGGUGUGCUCUGGAAAGGUUGUACUUCCUGUGGGGGGAAGCCCCCUGCUUCCUUGCUGCCUCGAGGGGAGCAGCUUCUGCCUCCUCUUGGGCCCAGACAAUGGAGUGGGCCAUUUAUGGACUGAGACCUCAAAUAAACUUUUCCUCUUCUAAGUUGUUCUUGUCAGGUAUUUUGGUCACAGUAAUGAAAAAGCUGUUUAAAACAAGAACCUCAUCUGAAUUAUGCUCAAGCUUCUACUACACAAAUCUAGUGUGAAGUUAUGAGAAGUUUUCCUUAAGGCGCACACCAUAACCCUUCUUCAUGCCCUAUAAUGAAGCAGGAGUGCAAAACCCACAUUAUAGUCCCACUGAACUUUAUUCAAGAGGCAUGUAUCUAGGACUGAACACAUGCCAAACAUCUGAUAAGCGUCAAUGAGUAUAAGCUCUUGUGAAGAUUUACUGAGCAUCUACUGUGUAUCUGACAUAUGCAUUAUUUCACUUAUUAUUUGCAAUCAUCUAUGAAGUUCCACAUCAAAAGUUACAUUCUUCAGUCGUAGAGUCAAAAGUCAAACUCAAAUUUCUUUCUUCUGUACCUUAUUUCUAUUCUAGGAG